GUUUAAGACCUCAAUCAUUAUCAAACAUGCCUGGCCAUUUGAUGAGCUUUAAUUGAAUUUUUUCCCAAGUUAUUAUCUAUGGAGAGGGAGGACUCGGCUGAGAGAGUAAAAGGGAGAAAAGUCAGAUUUCAAGCUUGCUUUAUGGAUUAGGGUUGCACAAGAAUACUAGUGGUUAUGUUGCAUGUUGAUUUUCUUGUGGAUUGGAGUGAGUUUUGUGAAUUGUUUCUUAUGAGGGAGGAACACGC
RNAcentral lists this long non-coding RNA (245 nucleotides) under Medicago truncatula (barrel medic). RNAcentral describes it as "long non-coding RNA (MTRU_LNC000417)". Lineage: Eukaryota; Viridiplantae; Streptophyta; Magnoliopsida; Fabales; Fabaceae. The record is from RNAcentral.